AAGUCGUAACAAGGUUUCCGUAGGUGAACCUGCGGAAGGAUCAUUAUCGAGUGCCGGGCGCAAGCCCGUACCCGCACCCAGUGUCGACUCUCUCUGUUGCUUCGGCGCGCACGCCCCGGCGGCCGCCGAAGGACCCAACCAAACGCAUGGCAAACCGGUCCGUCCGAGGAUACGCAAAUCAGUCAAAACUUUCAACAACGGAUCUCUUGGUUCGG
RNAcentral lists this unclassified non-coding RNA (215 nucleotides) under fungal sp. RNAcentral's name for it is "partial contains small subunit ribosomal RNA, internal transcribed spacer 1, and 5.8S ribosomal RNA". The stretch from base 1 to 46 matches the Rfam family "Eukaryotic small subunit ribosomal RNA", at positions 1786 to 1831 of the family's 1831-position model. RNAcentral also lists the same sequence under 1 other name. Lineage: Eukaryota; Fungi. The record is from RNAcentral.